This 1610-nucleotide ribosomal RNA is filed under the name Escherichia coli. RNAcentral's name for it is "bacterial LSU rRNA". It matches the Rfam family "Bacterial large subunit ribosomal RNA", at positions 1218 to 2812 of the family's 2925-position model. Lineage: Bacteria; Pseudomonadati; Pseudomonadota; Gammaproteobacteria; Enterobacterales; Enterobacteriaceae. The record is from RNAcentral.
GCGUUGUUGGGUAGGGGAGCGUUCUGUAAGCCUGUGAAGGUGUGCUGUGAGGCAUGCUGGAGGUAUCAGAAGUGCGAAUGCUGACAUAAGUAACGAUAAAGCGGGUGAAAAGCCCGCUCGCCGGAAGACCAAGGGUUCCUGUCCAACGUUAAUCGGGGCAGGGUGAGUCGACCCCUAAGGCGAGGCCGAAAGGCGUAGUCGAUGGGAAACAGGUUAAUAUUCCUGUACUUGGUGUUACUGCGAAGGGGGGACGGAGAAGGCUAUGUUGGCCGGGCGACGGUUGUCCCGGUUUAAGCGUGUAGGCUGGUUUUCCAGGCAAAUCCGGAAAAUCAAGGCUGAGGCGUGAUGACGAGGCACUACGGUGCUGAAGCAACAAAUGCCCUGCUUCCAGGAAAAGCCUCUAAGCAUCAGGUAACAUCAAAUCGUACCCCAAACCGACACAGGUGGUCAGGUAGAGAAUACCAAGGCGCUUGAGAGAACUCGGGUGAAGGAACUAGGCAAAAUGGUGCCGUAACUUCGGGAGAAGGCACGCUGAUAUGUAGGUGAAGUCCCUCGCGGAUGGAGCUGAAAUCAGUCGAAGAUACCAGCUGGCUGCAACUGUUUAUUAAAAACACAGCACUGUGCAAACACGAAAGUGGACGUAUACGGUGUGACGCCUGCCCGGUGCCGGAAGGUUAAUUGAUGGGGUCAGCGCAAGCGAAGCUCUUGAUCGAAGCCCCGGUAAACGGCGGCCGUAACUAUAACGGUCCUAAGGUAGCGAAAUUCCUUGUCGGGUAAGUUCCGACCUGCACGAAUGGCGUAAUGAUGGCCAGGCUGUCUCCACCCGAGACUCAGUGAAAUUGAACUCGCUGUGAAGAUGCAGUGUACCCGCGGCAAGACGGAAAGACCCCGUGAACCUUUACUAUAGCUUGACACUGAACAUUGAGCCUUGAUGUGUAGGAUAGGUGGGAGGCUUAGAAGUGUGGACGCCAGUCUGCAUGGAGCCGACCUUGAAAUACCACCCUUUAAUGUUUGAUGUUCUAACGUUGACCCGUAAUCCGGGUUGCGGACAGUGUCUGGUGGGUAGUUUGACUGGGGCGGUCUCCUCCUAAAGAGUAACGGAGGAGCACGAAGGUUGGCUAAUCCUGGUCGGACAUCAGGAGGUUAGUGCAAUGGCAUAAGCCAGCUUGACUGCGAGCGUGACGGCGCGAGCAGGUGCGAAAGCAGGUCAUAGUGAUCCGGUGGUUCUGAAUGGAAGGGCCAUCGCUCAACGGAUAAAAGGUACUCCGGGGAUAACAGGCUGAUACCGCCCAAGAGUUCAUAUCGACGGCGGUGUUUGGCACCUCGAUGUCGGCUCAUCACAUCCUGGGGCUGAAGUAGGUCCCAAGGGUAUGGCUGUUCGCCAUUUAAAGUGGUACGCGAGCUGGGUUUAGAACGUCGUGAGACAGUUCGGUCCCUAUCUGCCGUGGGCGCUGGAGAACUGAGGGGGGCUGCUCCUAGUACGAGAGGACCGGAGUGGACGCAUCACUGGUGUUCGGGUUGUCAUGCCAAUGGCACUGCCCGGUAGCUAAAUGCGGAAGAGAUAAGUGCUGAAAGCAUCUAAGCACGAAACUUGCCCCGAGAUGAGUUCU